This 253-nucleotide ribosomal RNA is filed under the name uncultured bacterium. Its description in RNAcentral is "partial 16S ribosomal RNA". It matches the Rfam family "Bacterial small subunit ribosomal RNA", at positions 524 to 776 of the family's 1533-position model. The record is from RNAcentral.
UACGUAGGGGGCAAGCGUUGUCCGGAUUUAUUGGGCUUAAAGAGCUCGUAGGCGGCUCGGUAAGUCGGGGGUGAAAUCCCGAGGCUCAACCUCGGAACUGCCUUCGAUACUGCGGGUCUCGAGUCCGGGAGAGGUGAGUGGAAUUCCUAGUGUAGAGGUGAAAUUCGUAGAUAUUAGGAAGAACACCAGUGGCGAAGGCGGCUCACUGGCCCGGUACUGACGCUGAGGCGCGAAAGCGUGGGGAGCAAACAGG